AUGGAUUGGUGCCUUCGGGAACUCUGAGACAGGUGCUGCAUGGCUGUCGUCAGCUCGUGUUGUGAAAUGUUGGGUUAAGUCCCGCAACGAGCGCAACCCUUAUCCUUUGUUGCCAGCGGUUAGGCCGGGAACUCAAAGGAGACUGCCAGUGAUAAACUGGAGGAAGGUGGGGAUGACGUCAAGUCAUCAUGGCCCUUACAAGUAGGGCUACACACGUGCUACAAUGGCGCAUACAAAGAGAAGCGACCUCGCGAGAGCAAGCGGACCUCAUAAAGUGCGUCGUAGUCCGGAUUGGAGUCUGCAACUCGACUCCAUGAAGUCGGAAUCGCUAGUAAUCGUGGAUCAGAAUGCCACGGUGAAUACGUUCCCGGGCCUUGUACACACCGCCCGUCACACCAUGGGAGUGGGUUGCAAAAGAAGUAGGUAGCUUAACCUUCGGGAGGGCGCUUACCACUUUGUGAUUCAUGACUGGGGUGAAGUCGUAACAAGGUAGGCGUAGUGCU
Molecule: ribosomal RNA, 503 nt
Filed under: uncultured bacterium
Lineage: Bacteria
Description: bacterial SSU rRNA
Rfam family: Bacterial small subunit ribosomal RNA
Source: RNAcentral